RNAcentral lists this ribosomal RNA (685 nucleotides) under Methylobacterium hispanicum. RNAcentral describes it as "bacterial SSU rRNA". It matches the Rfam family "Bacterial small subunit ribosomal RNA", at positions 14 to 750 of the family's 1533-position model. The record is from RNAcentral. Lineage: Bacteria; Pseudomonadati; Pseudomonadota; Alphaproteobacteria; Hyphomicrobiales; Methylobacteriaceae.
UGAUCCUGGCUCAGAGCGAACGCUGGCGGCAGGCUUAACACAUGCAAGUCGAACGCAUCCUUCGGGUGAGUGGCAGACGGGUGAGUAACACGUGGGAACGUGCCCUCCGGUCUGGGAUAACCCUGGGAAACUAGGGCUAAUACCGGAUACGUGCUUUGGCAGAAAGGUUUACUGCCGGAGGAUCGGCCCGCGUCUGAUUAGCUAGUUGGUGGGGUAACGGCCUACCAAGGCGACGAUCAGUAGCUGGUCUGAGAGGAUGAUCAGCCACACUGGGACUGAGACACGGCCCAGACUCCUACGGGAGGCAGCAGUGGGGAAUAUUGGACAAUGGGCGCAAGCCUGAUCCAGCCAUGCCGCGUGAGUGAUGACGGCCUUAGGGUUGUAAAGCUCUUUUCUCCGGGACGAUAAUGACGGUACCGGAGGAAUAAGCCCCGGCUAACUUCGUGCCAGCAGCCGCGGUAAUACGAAGGGGGCUAGCGUUGCUCGGAAUCACUGGGCGUAAAGGGCGCGUAGGCGGCGUUUUAAGUCGGGGGUGAAAGCCUGUGGCUCAACCACAGAAUGGCCUUCGAUACUGGGACGCUUGAGUCUGGUAGAGGUUGGUGGAACUGCGAGUGUAGAGGUAAAUUCGUAGAUAUUCGCAAGAACACCGGGGCGAAGGCGGCCAACGACCAGUACACAGGCGGAA